UUGACUGAUCAGGACUCCUCAGGUCACCUUCUCACAAUGAGGCUCCCUGCUCAGCUCCUGGGACUGCUAAUGCUCUGGCUCCCUGGAUCCAGUGGGGAUAUUGUGAUGACCCAGACUCCACUAUCCCUGCCCGUCACCCCUGGAGAGCCGGCCUCCAUCUCCUGCAGGUCUAGUCAGAGCCUCUUGGAUAGUGACGGGUACACCUGUUUGGACUGGUACCUGCAGAAGCCAGGCCAGUCUCCACAGCUCCUGAUCUAUGAGGUUUCCAACCGGGUCUCUGGAGUCCCUGACAGGUUCAGUGGCAGUGGGUCAGGCACUGAUUUCACACUGAAAAUCAGCCGGGUGGAAGCUGAGGAUGUUGGGGUGUAUUACUGUAUGCAAAGUAUAGAGUUUCCUCCCACAGUGGUACAUUCUGAAACAGAAACCUCCCUGCUGGGGUGUCCCAGCUGCCCCAUAGGCUGCUUGUCUGGGGAGCAGCUCGGCAGGGUCUCUGAGACUGCAAAAGAGGAGGCUGUUGGAGAAUACAGGACUCUGGCCCAUGAGAGCCUCAGCUGUGUUUUAGUCCCACGUGUUAAGGCCCCAUCAGCUGCCACAGGUGGCCACGUGCUCUGGGAGCAACCAGCUCUGAUGAAGGGAGAGUGA
This is a non-coding RNA of Macaca mulatta (Rhesus monkey), 642 nucleotides long. The record is from the annotation of a RefSeq genome assembly. NCBI's taxonomy places the organism in Eukaryota, Metazoa, Chordata, Mammalia, Primates, Cercopithecidae.